Molecule: ribosomal RNA, 253 nt
Filed under: uncultured bacterium
Lineage: Bacteria
Description: partial 16S ribosomal RNA
Rfam family: Bacterial small subunit ribosomal RNA
Source: RNAcentral
UACAGAGGUCUCAAGCGUUGUUCGGAUUCAUUGGGCGUAAAGGGUGCGUAGGCGGUGGGGCAAGUCAGGUGUGAAAUCCCGGAGCUCAACUCCGGAACUGCACUUGAUACUGCUUUACUAGAGUACUGGAGAGGAGACUGGAAUUUACGGUGUAGCAGUGAAAUGCGUAGAUAUCGUGAGGAACACCAGAGGCGAAGGCGGUUACCUGGACAGUUACUGACGCUCAGGCACGAAAGCAUGGGGAGCAAAAGGG